Molecule: transfer RNA, 55 nt
Filed under: Halotydeus destructor
Lineage: Eukaryota; Metazoa; Arthropoda; Arachnida; Trombidiformes; Penthaleidae
Description: tRNA-Gly
Source: RNAcentral
AGUUUUUUAAUAUAUAGAGUAUAUUUAGUUUCCAACUAAAAAGAUUUAAAAAUUA